Molecule: ribosomal RNA, 497 nt
Filed under: uncultured bacterium
Lineage: Bacteria
Description: partial 16S ribosomal RNA
Rfam family: Bacterial small subunit ribosomal RNA
Source: RNAcentral
GAUGAACGCUGGCGGCGUGCCUAAUACAUGCAAGUCGAGCGAACGGACGAGACGCUUGCUUCUCUGAUGUUAGCGGCGGACGGGUGAGUACCACGUGGAUACCCUACCUAUAAGACUGGGAUCACUUCGGGAAACCGGAGCUAAUACCGGAUAAUAUUUUGAACCGCAUGGUUCAAAAGUGAACGACGGUCUUGCUGUCACUUAUAGAUGGAUCCGCGCUGCAUUAGCUAGUUGGUAAGGUAACGGCUUACCAAGGCAACGAUGCAUAGCCGACCUGAGAGGGUGAUCAGCCACACUGGAACUGAGACACGGUCCAGACUCCUACGGGAGGCAGCAGUAGGGAAUCUUCCGCAAUGGGCGAAAGCCUGACGCAGCAACGCCGCGUGAGUGAUGAAGGUCUUCGGAUCGUAAAACUCUGUUAUUAGGGAAGAACAUAUGUGUAAGUAACUGUGCACAUCUUGACGGUACCUAAACAGAAAGCCACGGCUAACUACGUG